AGAUUGAACGCUGGCGGCGUGCCUAACACAUGCAAGUCGAGCGGUAACAGGUGUAGCAAUACAUGCUGACGAGCGGCGAACGGGUGAGUAAUGCUUUGGAAUCUUCCCAGUAGUGGGGAAUAACCAGUCGAAAGAUUGGCUAAUACCGCAUACGUCUGUAAAGGGAAAGCGGGGGCUCGUAAGACCUCGCGCUAUUGGAUGAGCCAAAGUCGGAUUAGCUAGUUGGUGGGGUAAUGGCCUACCAAGGCGACAAUCCGUAGCUGGUCUGAGAGGACGACCAGCCACACCGGAACUGAGACACGGUCCGGACUCCUACGGGAGGCAGCAGUGGGGAAUAUUGGACAAUGGGGGAAACCCUGAUCCAGCGACGCCGCGUGUGUGAAGAAGGCCUGCGGGUUGUAAAGCACUUUUAGUGGGGACAAAAGCUACGGAUUAAUACUCUGUGGUCUUGAUUUAACCCAAGAAAAGCACCGGCUAACUCUGUGCCAGCAGCCGC
Molecule: ribosomal RNA, 496 nt
Filed under: uncultured bacterium
Lineage: Bacteria
Description: SSU rRNA
Rfam family: Bacterial small subunit ribosomal RNA
Source: RNAcentral